CACGAGUCCUUCUCUUUCAUCGCUUCGUAGUCCAUAUUUCAUUCAGGCUACUCUAAAAGACUCUUCACAAGUAGGCGCAAUCGUUGCAAUCAUUCAAGCCUUUGGAUGGAGAGAAGUUGUAACCAUUUACGAGAAUACUGAAUUUGGAGAAGGGAUUAUACCAUUUUUAACCGAUGCCUUAGAAAAGGUAAAAGUGCGUGUACCGUACAGGAGUGUCAUUCAAACUUCAGCAACAGAUGAUCAGAUCCUCGCAGAGCUUUACAAGUUGAUGGCUAUGCAAACCAGAGUUUUCAUCGUCCACAUGUUGAACCCUCUUGCUUCUCGCCUGUUCACCAAAGUGGAACAACUAGGGAUGAUGAGUAAAGAUUAUGCAUGGAUAAUAACAGAUAGCAUCACAAACGAUUUAAAUUCAAUGAACCCUUCUGUCAUAGCAUCCAUGCUAGGAGUAAUAGGAGUAAAACCUUAUGUUCCAAAUACAAAGGAACUGGAUGACUUUAUAACUCGAUACAAGAAAAGGGUUCUGCAAAGCAAUCGAAAAGCCCUUGGCGUGGACAUUUACGGGCUAUGGGCUUACGACUCGGCCAUAGCACUAGCCAUGGCAGCAGAAACUGCAGGACUAAAAAAUCUUACAUAUCAAGAAACGAACACAUCAACAAAUUCUACGGAUCUUGAAGCCAUUGGAGUAUCAAUAAGUGGACCAGAGCUCAUUCAGGCUUUAUCAAAUAUCACAUUUAGGGGCCUUGCUGGAGAUUUUCGAUUGGUCGAUGGCCAACUCCAAGCGCCUCCAUAUGAGAUAGUCAAUAUGGUUGGUCCUGGAGCUAGAGGCAUAGGAUAUUGGACAAAAGAGAACGGAAUCAUCAACAAACUGAACUUCACUAGUUCAAGCACAAAUGAAUAUUCCACUUCCAAGUCCAACCUUGGGCCUACUAUAUGGCCAGGCGACGAAUCAUUUCCACCUAAAGGUUGGGUGGUUCCUACAAGAGGGAAGAAAUUGAAGGUAGGAGUACCCGUAAAGGAUGGUUUCACAGAUUUCGUUCGUGUAACUUGGAAUUCCGACAAUUCUACAACAGUGGAAGGAUACUGCAUAGAUGUUUUUGAUGCUGUGAUGGCAGCACUGCCAUAUGGUGUGCCGUAUGAAUACAUUCCAUUUGCAACAACUGAUCACAAGAUGGCUGGUGAUUACAAUGCGCUGACCCAGCAAGUGUACCUUGGAGUAAGUAUCUUCUUUAUUACAAUGAAUUUAAAAAUCAAACACAUUUUUUUAUCAACAUAGAGCAAGAUGGUACAGCUGACCUUUUCUCUAAUCAAUCAACAGAAUUAUGACGCUGUGGCUGGGGAUGUAACAAUUCUAGCAAAUAGGUCACAGUACGUCGACUUCACUUUGC
This 1385-nucleotide long non-coding RNA is filed under the name Erythranthe guttata (spotted monkey flower). RNAcentral's name for it is "long non-coding RNA (EGUT_LNC003377)". The record is from RNAcentral. Lineage: Eukaryota; Viridiplantae; Streptophyta; Magnoliopsida; Lamiales; Phrymaceae.